Molecule: long non-coding RNA, 534 nt
Filed under: Sus scrofa (pig)
Lineage: Eukaryota; Metazoa; Chordata; Mammalia; Artiodactyla; Suidae
Description: lncRNA (ENSSSCG00065047552.1)
Source: RNAcentral
GAUGAAAUCCUAGUCCAAGAGAUUCUGGAACCCAAUAAAUCGACGUCUAAAAUGCCAACGGCAGGAACAACGCUAUCAACAAGAAUAUUCAAGGAAAAAAAAGCCAGCCUCGAGGAGGAGGACGCCCCGUCGGCUGCUUCCGAGGGUCACCGUGUGCUCUCGGCGGUUCUCCCCGUCUCUCUCGGCCCUGAGGACAAGAUGGUCAACAACGAACCCAGUACUGACGACACCUACCAAGUCGGCGAGCCCGAGGGCUCCCCGGAGCCGCAGUACCCCCCCGGCGUGGGAGACGUACUUCAGAAUAACGGAAAGAAGAAAUCGAAAAAUGAUCAGCACGAGAAACAAUCAGUUCUGGACAGGAUCCUGCAAAAUACUGAAAAAUCUCCAGGAAACUCCGUCCAGUAAAUGGAGGAGAGCGAGGCCCAGAGGAGGCGUGGAGAGCAGCCCGUGAGGCCGCUGGCUCCGAGGAGCCGCCACACAGGACGCACGGACUGCGUGACAACAGCCCCGUCCUCAGUAAUAAAGAGCCUAUGU